CAGCCGCCGCGGUAAUACGGAGGGGGCUAGCGUUGUUCGGAAUUACUGGGCGUAAAGCGUACGUAGGCGGCUUUGUAAGUUAGAGGUGAAAGCCUGGAGCUCAACUCCAGAAUUGCCUUUAAGACUGCAUCGCUUGAACGUCGGAGAGGUGAGUGGAAUUCCGAGUGUAGAGGUGAAAUUCGUAGAUAUUCGGAAGAACACCAGUGGCGAAGGCGGCUCACUGGACGACUGUUGACGCUGAGGUACGAAAGCGUGGGGAGCAAACAGGAUUAGAUACCCCGGUAGUCCCUGUCUCUUAUAC
Molecule: ribosomal RNA, 301 nt
Filed under: uncultured bacterium
Lineage: Bacteria
Description: partial 16S ribosomal RNA
Rfam family: Bacterial small subunit ribosomal RNA
Source: RNAcentral